Pimephales promelas (fathead minnow) is the source of this 1500-nucleotide non-coding RNA. The record is from RefSeq and is a predicted model, not a curated record. NCBI's taxonomy places the organism in Eukaryota, Metazoa, Chordata, Actinopteri, Cypriniformes, Leuciscidae.
UGUACUGGUUAACUAAUGCUCUAGGAUAAGGGAAGUUACACCACAGACUGUUCCAGGGUUUUCUCAUUAAUUGAUGGAAUAGUACGCUAGCCCUUUAAGAAACGCGAUGUGUGACAUUCUGGAAGAAUCGCGAGAUUCUGCUGUGUACAGCGCGCGGUCACAACGUGAUUUGAAGUGCGGCUCAUGCGGUGGAGUGCUGAGGCCAUUAGACGCAGAUGUUACUGUUAAAAUAACAAAAAAGCACAUAUAGUAACUUGGAAGUCUCUCUUAGUGUGUUGUGAGGAUUGUGUGUUGUGCUGAGGGAACUUUGAAAUUCUGUCGACUCGAGAUGCAUACCUAUGUGGAGAAAUCCGAUCGACAAUAAAUCUCGAAGCAGGGGAGAGGAGUAUUCUUAAGGCCUCCUGAGUGUUUCCAGGCCGAGUGUGAAGCAACAGAAAGGAGAAUUGAGUUCAGCAUUCAAUGUGACAGUGUGUACAUGCUAUAAAGUGUGUUGAUGAACAGUAAGUUUAAUUUGAUUAUUAUAAUAAGAGUCAUUUAAUUAUUUCUUUGUGGAAUAUUAGAAUGUUAAUUCAGAGUGAUUUAUAUUUAGUGGAUGUUAGCCAUUGUAAUGAUUAGAAUGUAUUAAUGUUACUGGGAAAUGUAACUUCAUUUUUAUAUUUUUCAUGCAUCUUUUAUGUAAGAUAAGCAGCUUUAUUUGGUAUUCUGUGUUGACAAAUCUUGUAACAAUCUGUGUAUGUGUUUUUCAGAAUACGAGUCCACUAUCGUUGUCUAUGUUAAUUAGAUUCCAGUAGUUUAUUUGUUAAUGUGGUGACUGAGAACAGAAAGACAAGAGAGACUAGAGUUGAUAACAAAAUAUCUUUAUUGAUUCCAACCAAUGUAACAAGCUUUCUUGUCUAGUAUCACAUAUUUGCAUAGUUAACGCUGCGCUGUUUCAAGUGCAGUCUGGAAUAAACGAUCCCACAGAUAAUUUAAAUCCCUGUGUCUAGUGUUGUCACUAAUAUUCACACCGGGCCACAGAGAAUUUUGGUACCAGGAGUGGGGUUCCAUUGCUAGUGUAGAUAGGAUAGCACUAAAACAUAGACAACGGUAGUGGGAGAAACUGGUCGUGUGCUGACGCCUGGGAGUUCGACGGUGUGGAGUGUGACGUGCCUGGAGGGUCUGCGGAGAAGCAAGGGACCAGCUUUGGGAACGCAGACGGGUGCCUAAUCGUCGACAACGAAUUGGCCUUUCAGGUUGGCUGGCAUUGACUGUGACUGUUUCUGACUCAGAGCCAUUAGAAAUAGGGACAUUGCAAGAGCAUGGACCAGGACGACGAUGUGCCAGCUGCUCGGGCUGGAGCCAGCCGGGACGUGGACCAUGCUGGGGCUGCGGGUCAUGAGGAUGAGGGUAAUCCUGUAGCAGAACUGAAGUCACAAAUUCUGGAGUUAGGUCGAAGACACGACCAAGUAAUGUCAACCCUGGCUAAUAUGAAUAAUGCUACUAGGUCGUAUGUUUAUAUUC